RNAcentral lists this ribosomal RNA (721 nucleotides) under Providencia vermicola. RNAcentral describes it as "bacterial SSU rRNA". It matches the Rfam family "Bacterial small subunit ribosomal RNA", at positions 750 to 1458 of the family's 1533-position model. The record is from RNAcentral. Lineage: Bacteria; Pseudomonadati; Pseudomonadota; Gammaproteobacteria; Enterobacterales; Morganellaceae.
GGUGCGAAAAGCGUGGGGAAGCAAAACAGGAUUUAGAUUACCUUGGGUAGUCCACGCUGUAAAAGAUGUCGAUUUUGGAGGGUUGUGCCCUUGAGGCGUGGCUUCCGGAGCAAACGCGUUAAAUCGACCGCCUGGGGAGUACGGCCGCAAGGUUAAAACUCAAAUGAAUUGACGGGGGCCCGCACAAGCGGUGGAGCAUGUGGUUUAAUUCGAUGCAACGCGAAGAACCUUACCUACUCUUGACAUCCAGAGAAUUUAGCAGAGAUGCUUUAGUGCCUUCGGGAACUCUGAGACAGGUGCUGCAUGGCUGUCGUCAGCUCGUGUUGUGAAAUGUUGGGUUAAGUCCCGCAACGAGCGCAACCCUUAUCCUUUGUUGCCAGCGAUUCGGUCGGGAACUCAAAGGAGACUGCCGGUGAUAAACCGGAGGAAGGUGGGGAUGACGUCAAGUCAUCAUGGCCCUUACGAGUAGGGCUACACACGUGCUACAAUGGCGUAUACAAAGAGAAGCGACCUCGCGAGAGCAAGCGGAACUCAUAAAGUACGUCGUAGUCCGGAUUGGAGUCUGCAACUCGACUCCAUGAAGUCGGAAUCGCUAGUAAUCGUAGAUCAGAAUGCUACGGUGAAUACGUUCCCGGGCCUUGUACACACCGCCCGUCACACCAUGGGAGUGGGUUGCAACAAGAAAGUAGGUAGCUUUAACCUUUCCGGGGAGGGGGCCGGG